UGGAACACACAUGGUAAGGGAAACUGUGAGGGCACAUGUGAUGUGACCUUCAUCACCAUCCGGAUCUUGGGGUGGGCAAAUGUUAUAUGUCUUCAUUGUUGACUACCUUCAGCAGGGUCAUGCUGAUGUUAUAGGAGAAGGCAUGGAACUCCACUGCCAUCAACUUGCAUUAGUGCAGAUAACUUGGCGGCCAGUUCCAUAGGGAGAUUCACGAAGGAGGGCAGUUGGAGCCUUGAAGUAAAACAACAAGCUAGCAGGGGUGAUAUUCGAGGACUCCUCUUUGUUGGAAACACCGUGAGUUGUAACAGGGAGAAAAGGGAGAAAAGAAAUUAAGAGGAAAAAAGAGGGCACAACAUGAGCCCUUCGCUAAAAGUUCGUGCGUGUGCGUUCGUAUGAUUUUGAUGUGGUCGUUCGUGUGGACGAAUUUCAACACUCUUGGACGCUUGGUAUCCUUGGCUCUGUGCGCAAGGACGUUGACUAGGAUGUAUUGAUACACGGCUACACGAGAAAGAUUGGUGAAGCAAUCUUAUUUGCAGAAAACGUAGAUCUUGUCUUAUAUGUGUUAUUUUCUUAUAUUAUGCAACCAUCAUCAAGUAUAUCCAGAUUUAAAUGGGAAAAGUAUAUCAUGGUUGUUGGAGGACAAGGAUGAUAUUUUCCCUAAAAGCAAAAUUAUAGCCGAAUCUUUUUUUUUUGCAGGGGGAGGAUAACUGAAUCUAUAUAUUCAUGCAUGUCGACAAAAAAGAUGCCCUUAGAAAAGGACUUGAAUCUUCUUUGCUUCUGCUUACAAUUAUUAGAGGUUCUUAACUAAUUACAAUCUGGCAAUGCACAUAGUUUCAGAUCCUUACCACAGGAGACAUGUCACUUCUUACAAGAUAGUAAAAACAAUGCUUGCAGAAAGUUUGAAAUGUUAUUGUCCGCCAAUGUAUUGUUGUAUGGAAAAUUGCUGAACUUUUCUAUUCCGCAUCUUCAGUUUGCAUAGUCAAGUUUGUAUUAUUUGUGAUAUACACAUGCUUAUGCAUAUUCAAUUUUUUCAGUCAA
RNAcentral lists this long non-coding RNA (1038 nucleotides) under Triticum aestivum (bread wheat). RNAcentral describes it as "long non-coding RNA (TAES_LNC014591)". The record is from RNAcentral. Lineage: Eukaryota; Viridiplantae; Streptophyta; Magnoliopsida; Poales; Poaceae.